This 464-nucleotide ribosomal RNA is filed under the name Nitrosomonas europaea. RNAcentral describes it as "bacterial SSU rRNA". It matches the Rfam family "Bacterial small subunit ribosomal RNA", at positions 198 to 644 of the family's 1533-position model. The record is from RNAcentral. Lineage: Bacteria; Pseudomonadati; Pseudomonadota; Betaproteobacteria; Nitrosomonadales; Nitrosomonadaceae.
GGAGAAAAGCAGGGGAUCGCAAGACCUUGCGCUAAAGGAGCGGCCGAUGUCUGAUUAGCUAGUUGGUGGGGUAAAGGCUUACCAAGGCAACGAUCAGUAGUUGGUCUGAGAGGACGGCCAACCACACUGGGACUGAGACACGGCCCAGACUCCUACGGGAGGCAGCAGUGGGGAAUUUUGGACAAUGGGCGAAAGCCUGAUCCAGCCAUGCCGCGUGAGUGAAGAAGGCCUUCGGGUUGUAAAGCUCUUUUAGUCGGAAAGAAAGAGUUGCAAUGAAUAAUUGUGAUUUAUGACGGUACCGACAGAAAAAGCACCGGCUAACUACGUGCCAGCAGCCGCGGUAAUACGUAGGGUGCGAGCGUUAAUCGGAAUUACUGGGCGUAAAGGGUGCGCAGGCGGUCUGCAAGUCAGAUGGAAAGCCCCGGGCUUAACCUGGGAAUUGCGUUUGAAACUACAAGAGCUAG